CAGCAAGACUCCCUGGGAGUGGGCUGGAAGAGAUAGGUUCUUCUUCCAUUUCAACCACUCUUGACAACCGUGUGUCUGCACAUGGAGAAGGAACACUUUUCAUCAAACUCACAUACGGAAGACACACUUUUAACACCCGUGGGCACUGUGGAACUUGGUUGAGUGUGCUAAGGUUUGCUUAAAGACCGGUCUACUCUGGGUACACGGGUUCCGGUGAUCAGUGACGUACCCUAAUUGGUCAUGCCACUUGGGGGUACUGUUGUCAUAACAAGCUUUAUCUGGUUAGGCGGUAAGAUGCGUUCUGGCACACAGUGCUGGACCGCACCAAUAAAAAAAUAGACCCAGGGGAAAAAAUGCAGUUAUGGAGAUUACCUUACCAACCGGUCAUACGUACUAGCGCAAAGAGCAUUGUAACCUAGCUGGAAAUGUGACAGACAGCUCUGAAAAACGGACCUCUUCUGUUGUAACAGAUAGGGGCGAUUCGUAAUUUAAUCUAAUUCCCAGGAAUGAAUAGCGUUGUGCUGGAGACAGACAGCUCAUUUCGGGGCUCAUAUGAACCAUGUGUGGGAUAAUAGCGUGGUCGUGUCCUACCCUGCUCAUUCCCUCGACUCCGCUAGCAACAACUAAUCACCGAAAGAGCCCAUGACCAUGGCCGCAAGAAGAUGUUUCGGGGUGGUGAUGCAGCAGAGAUUUUUCUCCGCUCUGCUGACGAGUAUUUGUCUCCAUUAAUAAAGGAGCAUACAGUUUUGCAGCACCCCCAGCACUGUGGCUAUGCCCAUAACCUGUAUCACUAGACACCUCAUAGGGGACUAGUGAGCUGCAGACAGUAAUCAGCAAUGAAUCCCAGUAAUAAGACACCUAUACGGGAGGGGCGCCCCCUUGAAGACAGUGACGAAACUGGUCACUCUCACUCUGGAAGAUUGAUAUACCCCUUGAACACGGUGGAACGUGGGGUAACAGAGGGGGCAGCAUUAAACAUGGACAAGCUUCCAACGUACGCUGUGCUUCCGUGAGACUGUAUAGCCUGCAUGAAGGGGUCUCUGGCAAUGGCUGAUGUAGUACCCCGUUUGCCAAAUGUGGGAGCACUGCUGUUUGUCACCGUAAUGUUUUUGCGGAGGGGUGUACUGGUCACUCAGACCCGUGCCAAGGACCGACGCUCCGGGGGUUACCCCAAUCAAGUGCUCGGGGGGCUGCUUCUUCAUUGGAGGUGCAGGCAAACGCCCUCCAACUCCAUGAACUGGAAAUAGGAAUAGGGUUACAUAACACAGAGGGAAAUCUAGACCUGAGCCUUAGGACCAUGCCUCAGGACUACCUGGCCUGAUGACUCCUUGCUGUCCCCAGUCCACCUGGUCGUGCUGCUGCUCCAGUUUCAACUGCGGCUAUGGAGGUGCACAGCAGGUGUGGUAGAGAUACUCUGAAUGAUCGGCUAUGAAAAACCAACUGACAUUUACUCCUGAGGUGCUGACCUGUUGCACCCUCUACAACCACUGUGAUUAUCAUUAUCCAUUAUCAUCUAUGAACAUUUGCACAUCUUGGCCAUGUUCUGUUAUAAUCUCCACCCAGCACAGCCAGAAGAGGACUGGCCACCCCUCAUAGCCUGGUUCUUCCUAUGUUCCGGCCUUUCUAGGGAGUUUUUCCUAGCCACCGUGCUUCUACACCGGCAUUGCUUGCUGUUUGGGGUUUUAGGCUGGGUUUCUGUACAGCACUUUGUGACAUCAGCUGAUGUAAGAAGGGCUUUAAAAAAUACAUUUGAUUGUGUUAGGUUUUGAAACAUCAUCCACAAUGACCAUGUUUUACACUCAGUUUCAACCUGGUGUUGAACUUUUGUCAAAUUGAUCAUCAUAGUGAGGUGAGUUUUAAAAGCAGGAUACUGUUUUCAUGAUAAGUCUUUGAUGUGAUUGUUGAUUGCAUUUGCAUUGGUGUCAGAGGGUGUCAGAGUUGUUAGAGGGACAAUAGAGCCCCGAGUACCAGGCCAUUAGGACAUGAUGGUCAUUAGCAAGUUGGGGUGGCAGGUAGCCUAGUGGUUAGAGCGUUGGGCCAGUUGCCAGAAAGUUGCUGGAUCGAACCCCUGAAUUGACAAGGUAAAAAUAUGUUGAUCUGCCCCUGAACAAGACUGUUCCGGUAGGUAGUAGGCUGUCAUUCUAAAUAAGAUUUUUUUCAUAACUGACUUGCCUUGUUAAAUAAAGGUGAAAUAAAUACAGAUAAAUAAAAAAAUUAUAAUAAUACUACCAUAGCAUGUCCAGAGUGCAUAAAAGGAGAUUACCAUGACUCAAAGGUCACGUGGAAUUUUACUGUAGUCAUGACUCAUGACAGCUGGUGUGGUGGUAACAGCCCUAGCUGUGGAUCCCUUACAAAAAAGAUUGCAGUAUAACUGCAGUACACUUUUGUAUAACUGAAAAUACUGCAUCCAAAAUACCUUUUUUUACUGCAGUAAUUUUGCAAUGUAUGCAGUUACAGUGCAGUACAACUGCAGUUCAACUACAGUACACUGCAGUUAUUCUGAAAUCACUGCAUCCAAAAUGCCACUGUCGACUGCAGUUACCGCACUUUCAAAACGGCAAUCUUUUUUGUAAAGAAUGCAAGGACUGACCAUCCAUGAGCUCAAAAUGAUAGUUUUAACUAUGUUUUGAAGCUAUACAGUGUUUGUUUACAAUCACAUUAUUUACAAACAAUGGUGUGCAAUAAGCUUAUAGUUUGGGUCUGCUGGGGCACAACAAUUACACUAAGGCAUAGUCAUUCAUUUCAAGCGUUAACUGGUGAUAACAGGCACCCACAUUGGCGGUUUUUACUGCCUUGGAGCCUUCAAAUAGGUAAGCAGCUGCUCUUUUGAUUGCUUGGAAACCAUCCCGCCCCACUCAUGUUAGAAGUUCAGAACGAGAAAGUGUAGGCUAGAUACAAAUAAUUACCCAAAUUGAAUAUCAUUAAACAAAAUAAUGAGGAUUAAUAGAGGUGUAGAUUACAUCUCACAUUCCAGUGUUCGAAUUUGUUAACAAGGCUGCAUGGGAUUUCUCUUAAUGCGACUCCGUGCCGCCAAUGGCAAUGUCUGCUUUAGGUAUAAUGCCGGGAGCCACUUCAAUCCGAUUGCCCCUUUUCGGCUAUGCACCUUUUUAAAGCAAUGUUCCUGCGUUCGCGGAGACCGCAUUCACAGUAUUUAAAUGAUCUUUAAAUGUCAAGUGCGCUAUUAAGCAGAUCUAGCGUAGAUCGAAAUGAAUCCCAGCCUAAACUCAAGUCGAGUUAUAUUCUUCAAGAAUCAAUGGCUAAAAUAUAUAAUUCAUUCCAAAAAUGUAUGCACCAAUCACAGACUGACCCUUUAAUCAUGGCUUGGGUCCAGCUAUUUGAUACAGCAUUCCAGAUACCAUGAGGUGUGCUAUUAUAUAUGAAUUCAAUAUCUUUCUCUUCCGCCCCCUGUGGAUGUUUAGGGUAACUACACCUAACACGUGUUCAGCUUUGUUGGACAGUUAACAAGACAGCACCAUCCACCUCAACCGCUGUAGUAUGCAAGUAGUUUCCCCAGAUUCAUUACUUCCAGUGGUUAGCUGAUUCAGAAUAAAGAUAGAAAAGCUAUAAUUCAUUCAUGAGGUGGAUGGAUCUUAUGUAAACAUACCUGUUCAUUCCACUGGUUAUUCCAGCAGGGACACGUGAUAUUGUCACCAUCCAUGCAACAUUACUGUCAUUCAGUUUGACAGAAUGUAGUCCGUUUCUCGGUGUGUCAAACUGAGUGUCAAAGUCAUGAUACAUAUCUGACCUGGACAUAUUUGGAUUCUCACUGACAGAAUGUGUCAAAAUGUGUCUCAUUCUCUCACUACAUUUCUUGUUUUUUCCAUUUUCACAGGCUUUUAUUCAACGAGUGAGGGAGCUCACCCUUAACGACAAGGGGUGAAAAGGGGUCACAUAAAAAAAAAUCUGAAGCCCUACAGGGCUUUGUGAUAUAUUUACCAGUGUGGCGCUCUGAAGAAUUAAACAAAUUAAGGACAAGGGACUUGUGACUUGGGGAGAAAAGGCAUUGCGCAAAACACCAGAAUAAUUAUCACUGUGAAUCAUUGCAAUGUUUGUUUGUUUGUCAAUUAAUCCUGUAAGGUAUGGGUUGCCAACUGGCUAUUUGACACGGAAAUAGUGUUUUUUAUGUUAAUUAAAGUCUCAGAAAUAAAGAUUUACAUGUAUUCUUAAAGGGGUACAAACGCUUGUCACUUUAGUAUGUUAUAUGGCCAGUAUACCACACCCAAGGGCUGUUCUCAUGCAUGAUCUAAUGCGGAGUGCCUGAAUACAGCCCUUAGCCGUGGUAUAUUGGAAAUAUACCACAAACCCGAGGUGCCUUAUUGCUAUUACAAACUGCCUGAAUAUAAACAGUGUAGUUAUUCCCUCCGCAAGGCAAUCAAAAAAGCGAAAUGCCGGUACAGGGACAAGGUGGAGACGCAACGGCUCCAACACAAGACGCUUCCAGACAAACUAAACACCUUCUUUGCCCGCUUUGAGAAUAAUACAGUGCCACCGUUGUGGCUCCCUAACAAAGUCUGCGCCCCCCCCCCCUCCUCCUCCUCAGUGGCUGACAUGAGUAAAACAUUUAAACAUGUUAACCCUUGCAAGGCUGCUGGUCCAGACGGCAUCCCUAGCCGUGUCCUCAGAGCAUGCCCAGACCAAAAUAUGACGCAAUUACCAUUGCCAUUGCACUGCACACUGCUCCAUCCCAUCUGGACAGAAGUAAUACCUACAGUUGAAGUCGGAAGUUUACAUACACUUAGGUUGGAAUCAUUAACUUGUUUUUCAACCACUCCACAAAUUUCUUAUUAACAAACUAUAGUUUUGGCAAGUCGGUUAGGAUAUCUACUUUGUGCAUUUAUAAUUCACUAUAUCACAAUUCCAGUGGGUCAGAAGUUUACAUACACUAAGUUGACUGUGCCUUUAAACAACUUGGAAAAUUACAGAAAAUUAUGUCAUGGCUUUAGAAGCUUCUGAUAGGCUAAUUGACAUAAUUUGAGUCAAUUGGAGAUAACUUGUGGAUCUAUUUCAAGGCCUACCUUAAAACACAGUGCCUCUUUGCUUGACAUCAUGUGAAAAUCAAAAGAAAUCAGCCAAGACCUCAGAAAAAUAAUUGUAGUCCUCCACAGGUCUGGUUCAUCCUUGGGAGCAAUUUCCAAACACCUGAAAGCACCACGUUCAUCUGUCCAAACAAUAGUGCGGAAGUAUAAACACCAUGGGACCACGCAGAUGUCACACCGCUCAGGAAGGAGACGCGUUGUCUCCUAGAGAUGAACGUACUUUGGUGCAAAAAGUGCAAUCAAUCCCAGAACAACCACAAAGGACCUUGUGAAGAUGCUGGAGGAAACUGGUACAAAAAGUAUCUAUAGGAAAACAAGUCCUGUAUUGACAUAACCUGAAAGGCCGCUCAGCAAGGAAGAAGCCACUGCUCCAAAACCACCAUAAAAAAGCCAGACUACGGUUUGCAACUGCCCAGAGAAAUGUCCUCUGGUCUGAUGAAAUAUAAAUUGAACUGUUUGGCCAUUUUGACCAUCGUUAUGUUGGGAGGAAAAAGGGGGAGGCUUGCAAGCCGAAGAACUCCAUCCCAACCGUGAAGCACGGGGGUGGAAGCAUCAUGUUGUGGGGGUGCUAUGCUGCAGGAAGGACUGGUGCACUUCACAAAAUAGAUGGCAUCAUGAGGUAGGAAAAAUGUGGAUAUAUUGAAGAAACAUCUCAAGACAUCAGUCAGGAAGUUAAAGCUUGGUUGCAAAUGGGUCUUCCAAAUGGACAAUGACCCCAAACAUACUUCCAAAGUUGUGGCAAAAUGGCUUAAGGACAACAUAUUGGAGUGGCCAUCACAAAGCCCUGACCUCAUUUCUAUGGAACAUUUGUGGGCAGAACUGAAAAGUUUGUGCGAGCAAGGAGGCCUACAAACCUCACUUACACCAGCUCUGUCAGGAGGAAUGGGCCAGAAUUCACCCAACUUAUUGUGGGAAGCUUGUGGAAGGCUACCAUGAAUGUUUGAUCCAAGAUAAACCAUUUAAAGGCAAUGCUACCAAAUACUAAUUGAGUGUAUGUAAACUUCUGACCCACUGGGGAUGUGAGAAAAGAAAUCAAAUCUGAAAUAAAUCACUCUACUAUUAUUCUGACAUUUCACAUUCUUAAAAUAAAGUGGUGAUCCUAACUGACCUAAGACGGUAUUUUUACUGAGUUUAAAUGUAUUUGGCUCAGGUGUAUGUACACUUCCAACUUCAACUGUAUGUAAUACCUACAGCUCAGCAUUCAACACCAUUGUACCCUCCAAGCUCAUCAUCAAGCUGGAGGCCCUGGGUCUCAACCCCUCCCUGUGCAACUGGGUCCUGGACUUUCUGACGUGCUCCCUCUGCUGUUUCCUGAAGUCCACGAUCAUCUCCUUUCUUUUGUUGACGUUGAGUGAGAGGUUAUUUUCCUGACACCCUACUCCGAGUGCCCUCACCUCCUCCCUGUAGGCUGCCUUGUCAUCGUUGGUAAUCAAGCCUACUACUGUUGUGUCGUCUGCAAACUUAAUGAUUGAGUUGGAGGCAUGCUUGGCCAUGCAGUCAUGGGUGAACAGGGAGUACAGGAGAGGGCUGAGCACGCACCCUCGUGGGGCCACAGUGUUGAGGAUCAGCGCAGUCGAGGUGAUGUUUCCUACCUUCACCACCUGGGUGCGGCCCGCCAGGAAGUCCAGGAUCCAGUUGCACAGGACGUGGUUCAGACCCAUGGCCUUGAGCUCUGUAAUUUUGCCAAAAAGUUCCCAAAUGGCCCACCCAGUAAAGGAAACACACCCUGUUUGAAAUAUCCUGUUUUCCUGUGGGUUUUUUUAGGAGUUUUUCUGUAGAUUUGUCUGAUUUUCACUCUCAAAAUCACACUUUUUUUAAUAGACAAAAAUACAAAAAUGUGAUGUCUAAGUCCACAACAAUGCUGAAACCACAUCAAUCUGAUCGGGUGGCCCAGUCAGGGCUUGGCUUCCCUGUGUCCACCUAGGCCCAUCCAUGUCUACGCCCCUGAUGCAAACAGCCCAUGAUGACAAUUGCACAUCACAAAUAGCCUACUAACCAACACUUCGACUGAACUUUUUCAAAAACUGGUUUGCAUACCCAUUGUUGCUUUAGUUAGCAUUUACCAGCAGAUAUAAGUUGAAACAUCUUUCCUACCGUACCGGCUACCGAUGUCAUUCUUCUGUGAGCUGUUCCAUGCCAAAACCAGUUGAGAGCUGCACACUCUUGCUGCUGCUGAAACUAGGCUGUGUGCGGUGCGCAUGUGAAUAUAUUUCACGUGCUUUGCGAUUGUGUAGGCUACUUUGUACAUGAGUUCUCUCUUGUACUACAUAAUUGAUAAGUUGUAUACAUCAGUAGGGAUUAAGGUGUAUUGGUAAUGACCACUGAAAAAAAAGUAUGUAUACGGUUUAUAUCUGUUGUAUGCCCUCCACUACACCACUAGUCCGUUAUUGUGUGACAGGUUUGUGAUUCGGAAAGGACCAGUGCACUCAUAUAGGAGAGUGCACUUCUUGUAAAACACAAAGGCCUAUAGGUUCGGCACUGGGAAAACAUGUCUAUAAUAGAUGAGGCCGUUAAGAUAUUAAUGGUUCAAGAAAGAAGUAUAUAUUUGGCCUGGCGAAGCGGUUUUAUGCGCUGACUGAAUGGAUUUUAUAAUAGUGAGUUUUCUACGCCACUGGUCUCGGGAAGAAAUUAUGAGUCCUUACUGUUCGAGACCGAGUCAAGACCCAGUACAAAUGUAUCUGACACAAGACCGAGUCACUCUAUGUGUACUUCAACACUGGUCGUAAGUCUGAAGCUAGCUAGCCAGGUAGCGAGAUGGUCAUAUCUUAUGAAAUUGUUUUCUAGCUAGCUAUCAAGGUUCAAACUUUGUUGUCUCUUGCUAGCUAGGUAGCAUGACAAAUUACUAGUUAGACAUUUUACAACUUCAGGUGUGUUCUUAAACUUGGUACUCAUCUCGGAUCCGGGAGCACCCUCAUCAGUAAAAAAGCUGACUAGCAUAGCCUAGCAUAGCGCCACAAGUAAAUACUAGCAUCUAAAUAUCAUGAAAUCAAAAGUCCAAGACUCCAGAUGAAAGAUACACAUCUUGUGAAUCCAGCCAUCAUUUCCGAUUUUUAAAAUGUUUUACAGCGAAAACACAAUAUGUAUUUCUAUUAGCUAACCACGAUAGCAAAAGACCCAACUGCAUAUUUUCAUCAUUUUUUUACUGCAUAGGUAGCUAUCACAAAUUCGAUCAAAUAAAGAUAUAAAUAGUCACUAACCAAGAAACAACUUCAUCAGAUGACAGUCUUAUAACAGAUUUAUUGUAUAGCAUAUGUUUUGUUCGGAAAAUGUGCAUAUUUCAGGUAUAAAUCAUAGUUUUACAUUGCAGCCACCAUCACAAAUCUCACCAAAGCAGCUAGAAUAACUACAGAGACCAACGUGAAAUACCUAAAUACUCAUCAUAAAACAUUUAUGAAAAAUACAUGGUGUACAGCAAAUGAAAGACAAACAUCUUGUGAAUCCAGCCAAUAUUUCAGAUUUUUUAAGUGUUUUACAGCGAAAACACAAUAUAGCAUUAUAUUAGCUUACUACAAUAUCCAACCACACAACAGCAUUGAUUCAAGGCAAUGGUAGCGAUAGCGACAAAACCAGCAAAAGAUAUUAAUUAUUUCACUAACCUUCAUAAACUUCAUCAGAUGACAGUCCUAUAACAUCAUAUUACACAAUACAUAUAUGGUUUGUUCGAAAAUGUGCAUAUUUAGCGGUACAAUUCGUGGUUGAACAAUGUGAAUACGUAGCCAAACUGCACAAAAUUAUCCGGAUAUUUUUCUGAUACUCACCUAAUCCUAAUCAAAUAACUAAUCAUAAACUUUACUAAAAAAUACAGGUUGGACAGCAAAUGAAAGAUACACUAGUUCUUAAUGCAACCGCUGUGUUAGAUUUUAAAAAAUAACUUUAGUACGACAUACAGCUUACGUUAUAGCGAGACAGCGCCCAAAAUCAGCGCCCAAAUUACGACGACACAUUUUCGAUAGAAAUACGAAAUAACAUCAUAAAUGGUUCCUACUUUUGAUGAUCUUCCAUCAGAAUUUUGUACAAGGGGUCCUUUGUCCAGAAUAAUCGUUGUUUGGUUGUAGAAUGCCCUCUUCAUCUGUAGACUUUGCAGCCAACGCUAGCCAUGUGGCGCAGCAGUGUCCAAAUCACCAUAACGCAAGACAAAGAAAUUCCAGAAAAUCGCAAUAAACUGAUAUAAGCUGAUAUAAGUCGGUUUAAAAUAACUAGUUUAUGAUGUUUUCAACACAUAUAUCAAAUAAAAUCAGAGCCGGAUAUAUCUAACGUCUAUAACGAAAGCUUUUCAGAACGCCAUCCUGAGCUCCCUCUCGCGCCAAGCUGAACGGUGAAAAGACUAGACCCACUGUUCCAAGAGCUCUUGUUCGGCCUCAGAUAGAGCUAUACACCCCAUUCCAAUUCUCACUGCCUACUGACAUCUAGUGGAAGGCGUAUGCAGUGCAUGUAGACCCAUAGAUUUCAUGCAAAUUAAUAGGCUGACCCUGGAACAGAGCCCCCGAUUUCAGAUUUUUCAGUUCCUGACAGGAAGUUUGCUGCAAAAUGAGUUUGAUGUUUUGAUGUUUGAUGUUUUACUCACAGAUAUAAUUCAAACGGUUUUAGAAACUAGAGAGUGUUUUCUAUCCAAUAGUAAUAAUAAUAUGCAUAUUGUACGAGCAAGAAUUGAGUACGAGGCAGUUUAAUUUGGGAACGAUUUUUUACAAAGUGAAAACAGCGUCCCCCCCUAUUGAGAAAAGGUUAAAUUCAUUUCUGGAGUACCAGAGUUCGCUCGUAAAUUCAGAGCAUUGUCAGAUUGUCCGUUUAGAAAUUCAGAGCGUUUCGCUCCCGGAGCGCACACUGGACGGUUGAUUUGAGCGUUCUGACCUUACAACGGCAGUAAAGCACCCAAGCUAACGUUGGGUAGCUUGCUAGCUACUUCCAGACACAAAUGAGAGUGACCAUUCUGACCAUUUUACUCGCCCUAGCAGAGCUUGUUUGGCAGUUUUCAUGUUAUCCAGAGUGAUGGUGACUAACUGUGUUGCUGGCAACAAUUUAAUUACGCUUUUUUGCUGACGUUAAUUGACAUCGACCAUAUUCAACUGGUGUUGAGUGCUCGUAAAUUCAAUAUUCUGCGCUCUGGGACACUGAGACGAGAGUGCUCUGAAAUCGGAGUUGAUAGCGAAGGCGAAUUUACAAAAGCAUCUGAAUGUCCAUUGAGAACGCACAACGACUAUACCAUUUAGUUCAGCUAAGAAUGACGGGACUAAUCAAGUCAAUAAACGUGGGGUAGUUAGUUAGAUAGCCUAUAGUUAAUAUAAUGGCCAUGUUGAUGUAUACGUAGCCAUCUAAUGUUAGGUAACUAGCUAACAUACCGGUACAUACUGCUGUAAUGAUAUAUGUGGUUUGUAAGGACAGCGUAGCUAACAAAUUGUCAGCCAACAUAACGUGUAAGGUAAGGUAAAUUUGAAAAGAAAUUACUUCAUUACAUUGCUGAACAUUUUCUUAACAUUUGUCCUAAUCAGUUAAACCAAUGAAUUUGUAUUUGCUAUCGUUGGUUUUCGGCUGCAUAUUUUCUGCCAUUUUCUAAAGAUCUGUAAACGAUGUGAAGCCACACGCAUUUCCUGAAGAAUUUCAUCAUGGGCCCUAAAGUACGGAAAUAUUGUCUUCUGCGUGUAUACUUCAUAUUUUGGCUAAUUUAGUACGAUAUCCAGAAAAUUUUGGCAUACUAACUAUAUCCAUAAUAUGACCAAUAAGAAUACUAUAAUAUUAUGGUGUUUCUAUUCCGAGAAAAACUAAAAACUAAACCCUCAGGGUUUCCGUUAGGAUGGAAUGGAAAAUAUUGUGCUGUACAAUGUGAUGGUCGGUAGUAGGCUACAGCAUUAGAGGAUUUAGGAUUCUAAAUGAUCUAAGGGGCAUAACAUUUCCACACCCUAAUUGUAGUGUAACCAAUACUCAUUUCGCCUAUGGUAGGCCUACAGUGUAUCUAAAAAUAUUAUUUUCAAUGACAUGACUCUCCACCAAUAAUUACAUUUGGUUGGGGGAUUGGAGGAUUCCAAUGUCUUUCUGAAGAAAUUGUUUGUCCUUUCCUAGGCCACGCAUGUUUACACCGGCUGCUGAUAACUCGACGUCUAGGAGGUAUCACUUCUUUAGUGAAGAAGAGUUCAAAGUUCAUACCAAGUUGCCAUACUAUAAGCUCCUGCUAUAUUCUGGCUGGUAUCGUCGAAAUUCAUCCUUCCAGCGUGGUGAUCGUCACCUCCACGUUGAAAUUCGCCCUUCUAAACGUAUGGACAUCAGUCUUCACGUCAUCGGGAACACAAUGUUAAUUUCGUUAGGUUUAAGUCGUUCAACCAUUCACAACCAGAGCUCACGCUGAGGUUGGCUUAGUUCUGUAGUUGAUAUUGACUUUCGUCAAUGGGCUUUUGUAGUGGGGGAGAGAAUGGCGUGUUUCCUAGUUCACAACCAAUGCCUGUUCUCUUGGGCGGGGCCACUGAGUGAGCAUAGUUCACUUGUGAAAACAAUUCUCUCAUUUCGAAGCUAAAAUUACAUUUAAUCUUUUCACAAAUAGUUUCAUAUUUAAACAUUUAAAUUGCACAACAAUUCCAUGUGAAUCUGAUAACUAGAAUGUGUAGACUUCCCAAGAUACACUUUAUGUCAUCCUAUCAUCAGUAAUAAUGUCUCAGACGACAACUGGUCUGACGUCAUAUUCUUUAAGUACCGGAUACUUUCAACUGGUUGGAUUACCCUCCAUAAAUACAUUUCCCCCUUUUUCUCUCCACUCUACAUAAUGGACUCUUGGAAAGCCCUUUGUGAACAUAGAGAGAGUAUUUUAACAUCAAAAGGUUGGGGAAAAGAACAAUCUUUAGGUCAUAAACCUCCCGCAACAGGGCAACAUCAUGACAUUGGAGGAUUGGAGGAUAUUUCUCUUAUUCAGUGAUAUUUAUUCCCAUAGUAAUUCGUUAUGGAUCCAUAGAUAAAUAAACAUCGGCAUUUUGAAAGAGUAUUUUUAUCAUCAUUUUAUUAAUGAAAGCAUAAAGAUGCCAUUAUUAGUUACAUUGUUUUAGUUUGAACGUGCAGACGCACUAAGAACAGAACAGCUGGAACGUUUCCCUAGUCAGAGCCAUUAUUAGUGCAAUGACCCUUAAAUAUUUUGGAGAUGAUUUCGUUUUCGAAUAACGUAAAAUGAGCGAGAAAAAGGCCAUUCUUGAACAUGGGGUGAGACGUUGUUACUAAUUUGUAAAUAAAGCCAGUUUGAUAUUUAGAAUGAUUUAUUUCCGUUUUUUUUAUAAAGCACUACUGAAGUCGUGCACAAUUAUCAGUUUCUAUUUAGGUUUAUGUCGCCCAUUCAUUGUCAGCUAGAGACACAGUAGGACCCAAAAGCAUAAUUGGUGCUCUAACUCCUCCUUGUGCCGGUCUGGAGCAAUGAAGUGGUGACUGCAGGGUACCAUACUAAACCACAAAUUACCUCUAAGUCCUGCGGUGUAAGCUUGCAACUUUUAAAGUAGGAACCACUGUACAUACUCAAUUCACAUCACAGAUAGCACGGUAGGUGUCACUCCCUGGCCAUAGAGAGGUUUUUAUUCUCUAUUUUGGUUAGGCCAGGGUGUGACUAGGGUGGGCCUUCUAGUUCCUUUAUUUCUAUGUUGGUGUGGUUCCCAAUCAGGGGCAGCUGUCUAUCGUUGCCUCUGAUUGGGGAUCAUAUAUAAGUUGUCCUUUUUCGUUUGGGUUUUGUGGGUAGUUGUUUUCUGUUUAGUGUCUGCACCUGACAGGACUGUUUCGGUUUUCCCUCUUUGUUAUUUUGUUCGAGUCUUUUGAGUAAUACAUUUAUCAUGAACACUUACCACGCUGCGCUUUGGUCCACUCAUUCCGACAAGAGCCGUUACUACCCACACAGUUAGUGUGGGUAGUAUGAGUAUUUGAACACAGCUCGUCUCAAAAACUCACUCAGGAAACAACCACACACGGUAAACAAUUCAAGCUUCUGCAAAGGAGCUCAGAAAACCUAUUUUAACAGGGACAGAAUUAUUAAAUAAUAAGACACACCUGAGUCCAGUAAAAGUCUCUAGGGUGGUCUCUGUCGGCCUCUGGUGCCAGGAAGAACCAUGACAGGGAGGAUGGAACUCCUUCUCUCAAAUUUCCUGUAGAUCUUCAUUAAAAUCUCUCAAACCCAAAUAUUUCUCUGCUGCUACAACUACCACAUCUAUCUUCUGUGAUUUUCGCUCCAUCAGUGCAGUGCAGUUGAUCACCAUGGCUAUAAAUGCAACCUUACUAAAACUCAUCCUCUCUGGCUUGCUCUCUUCACGCCUACUCACUGGGGGCCUCCCAGUCGACUCACUCAACCUUGAGCUAUCCUUUACUCUCUUCACUGCCUCAGAAUAGGACACUUUCUGCCCCACUUGAACACUGGCUACCUUAACAUGUCUCUAUCUCACAGGGCACAUUGGAUCCCCAGCUGCAUUUUUAUUCAUUUUAUUUUUUCACCUUUAUUUAAACAGGUAGGCUAGUUGAGAACAAGAUCUCAUUUACAACUGCGACCUGGCCAAGAUAAAGCAAAGCAGUGCAACACAAACGACAACACAGAGUUACACAUGGAAUAAACAAACAUACAGUCAAUAAUACAAUAGAAGAAGUCUACACACAGUGUGUGCAAAUGAGGUAGGAUAACGGAGGUAGGUCCCGUGUGGCUCAGUUGGUAGAGCAUGGCACUUGCAACGCCAGGGUUGUGGGUUCGAUUCCCACGGGGGGCCAGUACAAAAAAGUAUGAAUGUAUGUACUUGUAAGUCGCUCUGGAUAAGAGCGUCUGCUAAAUGACUUAAAUGUAAAUGACUUAAAUGUAAGGCAAUAAAUAGGCCAUAAUGGUGAAAUAGUUACAAUAUAGCAAUUACACACUGGAGUGAUAUAUGUGCAGAAGAUGAGUGUACAAGUAGAGAUACUGGGGUGCAAAGGAGCAAAAAUAAAUAAAAUUGAUAACAGUCUGGGGAUGAGGUAGUUGGAUGGGCUAAUUACAGGUGGGCUAUGUACAGGUAUGUGCAAAUUAAUUACUUAAAAAUCAUAGAAUGUGAUUUUCUGGAUUUUUUUAGAUUGGAAAGAUAGAGAUAGAUUCCGUCUCUCACAGUUGAAGUACCUAUGAUAAAAAUUACAGACUUCUACAUGCUUUGUAGAAGUAGGAAAACCUGCAAAAUCAGCAGUGUAUCAAAUACUUGUUCUCCCCACUGUAGGUCUGUAGCAGUUUGGGUCUAGAGUGUCUCCUCCUUUGAAGAGGGGGAUGAUCGUGGCAGCUUUCCAAUCUAUGGGAAUCUCAGACGAUACGAGAGGUUGAACAGGCUAGUAAUAGGGGUUGCAACAAUUUCAGCAGAUCAUUUUAGAAAGAGAGGGUCCAGAUUGUCUAGCCAGGCUGAUUUUUUAAAUCUUUAUUUAUUAACUAGGCAAGUCAGUUAAGAACAAAUUCUUAUUUUCAAUGACAGCCUAGGAACAGUGGGUUAACUGCCUUGUUCAGGGGCAGAACGGCAGAUUUGUACCUUGUCAGCUCGGGGAUUUGAACUUAUAACCUUUCAAUUACUAGCCCAACACUCUAACCACUAGGCUACCCUGGCGCCCCAGAUUUUGCAGCUCUUUCAGAACAUCAGCUAUCUGGAUUUGGAUGAAGGAGAAGUGGGGGAGGUUUGGGCGAGUUGCUGUGGGGAGCGCAGGGCUGUUGACCGGGGUAGGGGUAGCCUGGUGGAAAGCAUGGCCAGCCGUAGAAAAAUGCUCAUUGAAAUUCUCAAUUAUUGUGGAUUAAUCGGUAGUGACAGUGUUUCCUAGCCUCAGUGCAGUGGGCAGCUGGGAGGAGGUGCUCUUAUUCUCGAUGAACUUUACAGUGUCCCAGAACUUUUUGAGUUUGUACUACAGGAUGCACAUUUCUGUUUGAAAAAGCUAGCCUUAUGCUUUCCUAACUGCCUUUGAAUAUUGGUUCCUAACUUCCCUGAAAAGUUGCAUAUCACGGGGGCUAUUCGAUGCUAAUGCAGAACGCCACAGGAUGUUUUUGUGCUGGUCAAGGGCAGACAGAUCUGGAGUGAACCAAGGGCUAUAUCUAUUCCUGGUUCUACAUUUUUUGAAUGGAGCAUGCUUGUUUAUGAUGGUGAAGAAGGCACUUUUAAAGAAUAACCAGGCAUCCUCUACUGCCCGGAUGGGGGCCAACAACGCAAAAUGGGAGGAACUCUGUGUGCGGGAGACCUUCACCUCCUACUUCCUUGAAGAGGGUGCUGUUCCCGGGCAACACCUUGUGCCAUAGACUACACUAUGCACAAACAAAGACUCUUUUAAGAGCCAUCCACAUUGCAAUAAGAGUAUUCUUCCAUUUACUUAGCUAUGUCAACUGCAGUUAUUCAAUUCCCAGUUUCUCUCCGUUUGAAAUUCUACUCUCUGGUGAGGGCCUGUUCAGGUAAGGGUGAUACCUGCUCAUAAACAAAACAGGCUAUUUUAAGAGUCACCCAUAUUGAAAAAAUGUAGAACAGUUAGACACCCUACAACACAAACACUUGUGUAUCAAUGUGAUGGAUGGAUUGUGUUGAGCAGUAAGCAGGCUCAGAUGUAUAACUGUGGCUCCUUCCAUCUUCAAAGAAUAGACAAAAGGACCGACCAUGGAGAAUAGUUUAUAUUCAUGUUACUACGCUAUAUUGUUUGUCUAUGCAUGUUUUUCAGUAGAAAGUAUUCUGCAGCCACUCAGUGUGGACACCAGGUGAGGCCACACACACACACACACAGAUUCCUGUUGAACACUGUCUCUUUAACUACCUAAUUUUCUCAAUAACAGUCUCCCUAACUCACUUCAUCCCUCUCCCCCCUUCUCCCUAAAUCCUCUUGGUCAGGUAUUAAACUCUUACCCUACAAGGUCCAGAGCCUGCUGGUUUUCUGUUCUACCUGACAAUACAUCGCACCCACAUGAUGUCCCAGUUCUAAAUCAGUCCCUGAUUAGAGGGGAACAAUGAAAAAACGCAGUGGAACUGGCUUCAUGGUCCAGAGUUGUGUUUGAGGGCUGUAGGUUAUAUCAGCUGUGCUGGUGAACCCCUCCCGCUUCUGAAAUGCCUGACAAAUAGAGGGCACAGCAUGAUCAGAUGUGAGAGGUCACUUGGUCGCAGGGUUGCCAGAUCUAUAAAAAAAUUCUAGCCCAAUGACUAAUUCAAACCCACCCACAAGACCUAAAAACUAGCAAAAGGAGUUGCCACAUUUAGCUAAAAAAAACUUUUUCCAUAACGUUAUCGAGCGAAUUAAGAAGGAAUCUCGAUUUAAAUUCUAAGGUCCAAAGAAGCAAAAUUAGUUUUUCUAUCAAAAUCAUAAUUCUUGCGAGCUAAUGUGACUAGUAAAGGAAUUUGAUUAUGUCGCAAGAGAAAAGAUAAUUCACCCUUAUUAGAUGCAGGUAGCCUAUAGCCCCCUACAUCUAAUUUCAGAUAGCCUAAAAUAGCCUUGGGCAAGAUGUAAAAUAAACAAUUUGGCAGCUUACUUAGUAGAUUUUUAUUACAACAUGAACGGCGAGGCGAUUUUGAGGUAAAAAGUUCUUCCGUUUCCCAAUUGCCUGCUGGAAUAGGCUACUGUGGAUAGGAUCGUAAUUUAAAUCACUGCAUCAAAUAUUAAAAUAUGGAUAUGAACUGAAUAGGCCUAUGCUUGUCAACAACAGCCAGGUUGUUUUUUUUUUACCAGUAACCUAGUCUGACUGACUGUUCCCUUCAGUCGAACGCAUUCUAACAACAGCUAAACUGUGACCAUGAUCAGAAUUGAUAACUUCCAAUUUCAUUAACUAACAUGGCCAUUAAUAAUUGCAUAAUAACAUUAAGGCUACAAGAACAAUAAACUGAAGUUGUAGGCUAUUUAUUAAAUAUGUUUGCCAGCUCCAGAUAGGCUGCUACACAAGUGGAACAAAUUGAUUUGCAAUGACUCCAGUGAUAUCGUGAUUUCAACAUAUUUCUUGUAUAAAAUGGUUGCCUACAUAGGCAGAGAAAUGAAUAGGUUGAUUGAUGGCCAACAGAUGCAAAUGUAUUAUUCUUCACAUUUAAUGUCAGUUUAAUUGUGGACUUUUCCCCAUAACAGAAGCAUGCGAGGAAGUUGGAUAACUUCCAUUUUAAAUUUCUACUCGCUUGACAUGGUUUUCCAUAAGCAAAGUGGACAUUAGAAUGCAGUUUAAACCACCUCUGAGCUAUCUAAUGCACUCUAGAGCGCCAGAAGUUAUUUUCCUGUGCUUUGUCAUCAUUAUCUUUUUUAUGCACAUCAGUUCUAAUGGAUGGGUUACACCUACAUGGAUCAACUCUUAAACUGGGUUAAAUCAAAGUUUAUCUAUUCGUCUUGUUGCACCAAUUGUUAAACCUAGUUUUAAAUAAAAUCCUUCCUCUAAUCUAAGUUAAUUUUUCUCUUUAAACCUGGAUUAAUUAUAAAUCUGUUGCUAAAAAAUAUAUAAUAAUUGAAUAUAAACUUAGAUUGGCGAUUAAUUAUAAACUGCCAUUUGAGGUGGUUUAACUGAUGCAAUGGCAGCAUAUCUCCUGUGGAGAGAACAAAACGACAGAGUUCCUCCGAGACUAGAUAGUAAUUUGAGACUAGUUGAAUCCUGUUGAGUUUUAUGAUAACGAUGAGUUUUCAAGGAGAUGAUGCUUCUCCAAGCACUGUAAUGCAACUGGAAAGAAAGGUUGGACUAACCAUUAAGCAUGGGAGUGAUAGGAACAAGGCUGUAACCCCACUACUGCAGCUCCUGGUGGCCCUACGGUUCUACGCAACUGGAAAUUUCCAGAUGGUGGAAGGGGACCUUUUUGAACUCCACAAGUCCACCGUCUGCAGGAUUGUAGCCAGAGUCUCCAGUGCUAUUGCUGGUCUGAAGGAAUCAGUACAUAUGGUACAAUCCUACAGAGGAAACAGCAGCUGGAUUUGACAGGAGAGCUAUAUUCCCAGGUGUACUAGAGGCAAUAGACUGUACACACAUUCCUAUUACCAACCCUAGUGGCGAGAAUGGAGAACUAUUCCGUAAUCGGAAAGGUUGCUGCUCAAUCAACGUGCAGGCAGUCUGCGAUGACAAAGGUAAGCUCACCAACAUCGUAGCUAGAUGGCCAGGAUCCACCCAUGACACCAGAAUAUUUGACAAUAGUCGUUUGUGUGCAAGGGGGGCAUAUAAAGGCCACCUACUAGGUGACAAUGGAUAUGCCUGUCGUGGGUACCGCUUUUAAACCCCCAGACACCUGAAGAGACACAAACCACCAAUCUCACACUCAAUUUGUGCAAAUAUGUACUCAGAGUAUUUCAGCAGAUUUUGUGAAUUUUUUGUGUGGCUUAAAUCGAGUGAAAAUACACAUUUGUGUGUGAUUUACUUCGUAGGAAAAGACUGUUUUUGUGCAACUUCAUUCUUAGCAAAAAAUAAGUAAAAUGGUGGCAAACGGAACAAUCUUUUAAAACGUAUUAAAGCAAUGCAUGAUGGGCAAUUUAUUUUAUUUUACCGUUAUUUUACCAGGUAAGUUGACUGAGAACACGUUCUCAUUUGCAGCAACGACCUGGGGAAUAGUUACAGGGGAGAGGAGGGGGAUGAAUGAGCCAAUUGUAAACUGGGGAUUAUUAGGUGACCAUGAUGGUUUGAGGGCCAGAUUGGGAAUUUAGCAAUUGGCAAUGGUGCUCUACACUGCCUUUUUUUUGUGUCCCACAUUUAUUUAUAUAAAAAAGCAAACGUGAUAACAACCCAAUAUUGUUAAUCAACCAGGUUGUCACCUAAAUAAUUUUAUAUAAUAGUGGCCUUACCUUAUUUUUUAAAAUGUAUUCAUGCCAAUACUGUUUUCUAUGCUUGUUUUCACUUAUACUUUGGGAUACUGGUGUACUUUUCGUGUAGGCAACAGUAGGCCUUCAUAAUGCAUUUCAUAUUUCGUGUACAUUACACCAUUUCUUUCAUAAUGCAUUUUAUACAAGUCUAUGUUGAAUUUUAUGAGGGUUGCCAGAUUGAAGAAAAAAUACAUAUUUUUUUUUGUGUUAUUGAUGAUGGAAUUUGAUUGGGGAAUGACGAUACGUUUUCAUGGUGGGAAUGGAAUGGUUUCAUGGUUUUCAUGGUGGGAAUUAUAAUACACACGCACACAUACACUUACACACAUAUACACACACACCUUGUUUGUACUCAUGUUAUCGCCAACUCUUCAGUUUCUUUGAAUAAUUUUUUAUAUAAUACUUGUAUGCAGUUGUCAUGUAUUCAUGUUUCAAUAAUGAUUAACAUGGUUAAAAAGUCGUAAAUCUCGGCUUGAUUUAGCUUUUGGUAUAUUUGCCAUUUUUAUACAUAUUCUGUAUUCCACUGAAGAAAGAAGUAAUAAACACACUACUGUAAAUAAAUGGUGUUAUAAAACGGAAAA
Molecule: long non-coding RNA, 19339 nt
Organism: Salvelinus fontinalis (brook trout)
Lineage: Eukaryota; Metazoa; Chordata; Actinopteri; Salmoniformes; Salmonidae
Exons: 2
Source: RefSeq, a predicted model, not a curated record